RNAcentral lists this small RNA (121 nucleotides) under Klebsiella quasipneumoniae. RNAcentral's name for it is "RtT sRNA". It matches the Rfam family "RtT RNA". Rfam says of the family: This family represents a bacterial cis-regulatory element known as RtT RNA. Lineage: Bacteria; Pseudomonadati; Pseudomonadota; Gammaproteobacteria; Enterobacterales; Enterobacteriaceae. The record is from RNAcentral.
UAUUCUGCCCCACGGGGAAGGAUGAGAAGGUUCGACUCGAGCGUAGCGAGAGAACGUUGCCGCAGGCAACGGCCCGAAGGGCGAGGCGCGUAAGCGCCGAGUCAUCCUUCCCCCACCACCA